This is a long non-coding RNA of Meriones unguiculatus (Mongolian gerbil), 1065 nucleotides long. RefSeq lists it as uncharacterized. The record is from RefSeq and is a predicted model, not a curated record. The transcript has 3 exons. Lineage: Eukaryota; Metazoa; Chordata; Mammalia; Rodentia; Muridae.
UUCCUGUGUUUCUUACACUGCAGGUGAGGGUGGAUCGGAGCAAGUAGCCUCUCCACUGUGACAUCCAUAGGUACAGGAGGUGUUUGAAUAAACUGAAUGUCAUCACCCAGUACACUUUCCCUUUAGGGUUUCCAAGAACAACAUGGCUAACAUAAAAAGGUUUCAAUCAAGGAAGACUCACCUAAUCGUAAAUGGAAGCUUAUGAUGGCAGCCCAGGUGAAAAAAUAUGGAAGAAACUUUAGAUGCUUCCUGCCUGCCCUCAGGGUUAUUAUCAAGAUUAUCUGUCUUUUUGUUGAGGCAUUCCUUUACUGAUAUUAGAACCAGCUUCUUCUAAGGUAGACUGAAGAUCAGCAACUCUCCAGUGUUGUUAUAAAUAAAAUUGGUGCUGGGAUAAAUAAUGUUAUUUAUUAUUAGCUCUGUAAUUAUUAUGGUGGUGUUAUUUAACCCACUGGCACAAUUAAUAAGACAUAGACACUUGUUAGAUUUUAUAAUUGCCUUAUUUACCUUGGGCUGGGCAGAUAUUUCCACCUACACUAUCUCAAUAACUUCACCACCCACCUCCCAGCCCCCAUCCAAGCCAUUUGCUUUAACCAUCCUUAUCUGGACUACCUUCCAUCCAUAAUCUUAUAAAUACUUGCUUGUAUUUUUUAUCUGGACCUUUCCACACCAUUAUCGGAGUCCUUCUCCUGAUCCACAUGAUUCCUUCUCCAUGCUAACCCAUUGUGGCAUCCUCCUGCCUCCUCUCUUUCCAUCUGUCUGCUUUCCCUGAUUUUCCUCUUCCCAAAGCCUGGGAACUUUAGCCAUGCCUACCCCAUUCUGCUCUGCCUAGGUUUUAGGCCUUUUAAUCAACCAAUCAGGUAUAAUGUCUGAGGCAGUUUUGCCCAACAAUGAUAGGUGUAUCCUGAAAGUAAUCAGAUCUUGAGGGCCAGUAAUUAACAUCAAAAUACAAGCAUCAGACCAACUACAAACACUCCAGGGAUCUUCCAGGCCACUAGUAUCAGAAUGGGAAUGUAUCCAGGUGCAUAAAAUGAGCACCUAUCACAUUCUCAGCAUCGCCAGUGUGGA